RNAcentral lists this ribosomal RNA (440 nucleotides) under uncultured bacterium. RNAcentral describes it as "partial 16S ribosomal RNA". It matches the Rfam family "Bacterial small subunit ribosomal RNA", at positions 338 to 795 of the family's 1533-position model. The record is from RNAcentral.
CCUACGGGAGGCAGCAGUGGGGAAUAUUGCACAAUGGGGGAAACCCUGAUGCAGCGACGCCGCGUGAGUGAAGAAGGAUCUAGGUAUGGAAAGCUCCAUCAGUAGGGAAGAAAAUGACGGUACCUGAUUAAGAAUGCACGGCUAACUACGUGCAAGCAGCGGCGGUAAUACGUAGGGGGCGAGCGUUAUCCGGAUUUACUGGGUGUAAAGCGUGCGUAGACGGCAGGGCAAGUCUGAAGUGAAAUGCCCGGGCUUAACCCCGGAACUGCCGGGGAAACUGGGGUGCUAGAGUGCAGGAUGGGCAGGCGGAAUGCGUAGUGUAGCGGUGAAAUGCUUAGAUAUUACGAGGAACACCGAUGGCGAAGGCAGCUUACUGCACCGUAACUGACGUUGAGGCUCGAAAGCGUGGGGAGCGAACAGGAUUAGAUACCCGGGUAGUC